UACGUAGGGUGCAAGCGUUGUCCGGAAUUAUUGGGCGUAAAGAGCUCGUAGGCGGUUUGUCGCGUCUGCUGUGAAAACUCGGGGCUUAACUCCGGGCCUGCAGUGGGUACGGGCAGACUAGAGUGCGGUAGGGGAGACUGGAAUUCCUGGUGUAGCGGUGGAAUGCGCAGAUAUCAGGAGGAACACCGAUGGCGAAGGCAGAUCUCUGGGCCGUUACUGACGCUGAGGAGCGAAAGCGUGGGGAGCGAACAGG
Molecule: ribosomal RNA, 253 nt
Filed under: uncultured bacterium
Lineage: Bacteria
Description: partial 16S ribosomal RNA
Rfam family: Bacterial small subunit ribosomal RNA
Source: RNAcentral